UCAGUAGUCCUGUUCUCUCUCUACUAGUGAAAGGGAUAUGAUCCAAAAAAAAACAUUUUUGACAAAUAUGCUGGCCACAGCUUAUUAGUCAUUCAUAAAAUAGUAUUUUGUCCUAUUAUUGGUUUUCCCUAAAAUCUUAAAGUGUUUGUUCGGUUUCCCAUGUUGAUGGGAUAGCUCUAGGCAGACUGGGCAUUCUGGGAUUUGUAGUUUUGCAACAGCUGGAGAGCUGCAGUUUGCCCAUCCCUGGGAUAGGUCAUCAGUAUUGGACACUGAACAACCCCUUUAAAAUUGGUUGCAAUAGAGCAAUAUGGUAGUUAUGACAAAGGGUUAGUAAGGCCUUUUAUGACUGCACAUAAGCGAUUCAUGCCACAUUCAUUUGGUGUGGGGUAUAAAGUUAAUGCAACUUUUGAACAAAAAAAAAAUAAAUGAAAAAUAAUAAAUAGAAUUCAUAUACUAUUGAAGAUAGAUUUGAAGGUCUCCUAUUUGGUGGAUGAGAUCCUGGUGAAGAUAUCGUAGUCAUUGAAUAUGAACCGUUUCCUAGUCACGUCUUCACAGUACAGCAUUGACACCAGACAUCCAUUCCUCAGGUCGGCAAGGACACACAUACUUUU
Bufo bufo (common toad) is the source of this 611-nucleotide long non-coding RNA. RefSeq lists it as uncharacterized. The record is from RefSeq and is a predicted model, not a curated record. The transcript is spliced from 2 exons. Lineage: Eukaryota; Metazoa; Chordata; Amphibia; Anura; Bufonidae.